AACGAACGCUGGCGGCAUGCCUAACACAUGCAGGUCGAACGAGACCUUCGGGUCUAGUGGCGCACGGGUGCGUAACGCGUGGGAACCUGCCCUUAGGUUCGGAAUAACUCCCCGAAAGGGGUGCUAAUACCGGAUAAUGUCUUCGGACCAAAGAUUUAUCGCCUUUGGAUGGGCCCGCGUUGGAUUAGCUAGUUGGUAGGGUAAAAGCCUACCAAGGCGACGAUCCAUAGCUGGUCUGAGAGGAUGAUCAGCCACACUGGGACUGAGACACGGCCCAGACUCCUACGGGAGGCAGCAGUGGGGAAUAUUGGACAAUGGGCGAAAGCCUGAUCCAGCAAUGCCGCGUGAGUGAUGAAGGCCUUAGGGUUGUAAAGCUCUUUUACCCGGGAUGAUAAUGACAGUACCGGGAGAAUAAGCUCCGGCUAACUCCGU
This 432-nucleotide ribosomal RNA is filed under the name uncultured bacterium. Its description in RNAcentral is "partial 16S ribosomal RNA". It matches the Rfam family "Bacterial small subunit ribosomal RNA", at positions 29 to 506 of the family's 1533-position model. The record is from RNAcentral.